AUGUAGUGUAGCAUGCCCGUUUGGUGCUUAACUCUGAUGAUUAUGUUAUAUUUAUUUAUAUUUAGGUAGCGGGGUGUUACGGUAUA
Molecule: microRNA precursor, 86 nt
Filed under: Medicago truncatula (barrel medic)
Lineage: Eukaryota; Viridiplantae; Streptophyta; Magnoliopsida; Fabales; Fabaceae
Description: MIR2617 microRNA precursor family
Rfam family: MIR2617 microRNA precursor family
Source: Rfam by way of RNAcentral